AGAGUUUGAUCCUGGCUCAGGAUGAACGCUGGCGGCGUGCCUAACACAUGCAAGUCGAACGAUUAAACCGCCCUCGGGCGGACAUAGAGUGGCGAACGGGUGAGUAACACGUGACCAACCUGCCCCGCGCUCCGGGACAACCGCUGGAAACGGCGGCUAAUACCGGAUACUCCGGGAGGGCCCCAUGGCCCUGCCGGGAAAGCCGAGACGGCGCGGGAUGGGGUCGCGGCCCAUUAGGUAGACGGCGGGGUAACGGCCCACCGUGCCCGCGAUGGGUAGCCGGACUGAGAGGUCGACCGGCCACAUUGGGACUGAGAUACGGCCCAGACUCCUACGGGAGGCAGCAGUGGGGAAUUUUGCGCAAUGGGGGAAACCCUGACGCAGCAACGCCGCGUGCGGGACGAAGGCCCUCGGGUUGUAAACCGCUUUCAGCAGGGAAGAUCCAAGACGGUACCUGCAGAAGAAGCUCCGGCUAACUACGUGCCAGCAGCCGCGGUAAUACGUAGGGGGCGAGCGUUAUCCGGAUUCAUUGGGCGUAAAGCGCGCGUAGGCGGCCGCCUAAGCGGGACCUCUAACCCCGGGGCUCAACCCCGGGCCGGGUCCCGGACUGGGCGGCUCGAGUGCGGUAGAGGAGAGCGGAAUUCCCGGUGUAGCGGUGGAAUGCGCAGAUAUCGGGAAGAACACCGAUGGCGAAGGCAGCUCUCUGGGCCGUCACUGACGCUGAGGCGCGAAAGCUGGGGGAGCGAACAGGAUUAGAUACCCUGGUAGUCCCAGCCGUAAACGAUGGGCGGUAGGUGUGGGGGGACGAUCCCUCCGUGCCGCAGCCAACGCAUUAAGCGCCCCGCCUGGGGAGUACGGCCGCAAGGCUAAAACUCAAAGGAAUUGACGGGGGCCCGCACAAGCAGCGGAGCAUGUGGCUUAAUUUGAAGCAACGCGAAGAACCUUACCAGGGCUUGACAUGCCGAUGAAGCCGGGGAGACCCGGUGGCCGAGAGGAGUCGGCGCAGGUGGUGCAUGGCUGUCGUCAGCUCGUGUCGUGAGAUGUUGGGUUAAGUCCCGCAACGAGCGCAACCCCCGCCCCGUGUUGCCAGCAUUCAGUUGGGGACUCGCGGGGGACUGCCGGCGUCAAGCCGGAGGAAGGUGGGGACGACGUCAAGUCAUCAUGCCCCUUAUGCCCUGGGCUGCACACGUGCUACAAUGGCCGGUACAGAGGGUUGCCACCCCGCGAGGGGGAGCGGAUCCCGGAAAGCCGGUCCCAGUUCGGAUCGCAGGCUGCAACCCGCCUGCGUGAAGCCGGAGUUGCUAGUAAUCGCGGAUCAGCACGCCGCGGUGAAUACGUUCCCGGGCCUUGUACACACCGCCCGUCA
This 1366-nucleotide ribosomal RNA is filed under the name uncultured bacterium. RNAcentral describes it as "16S ribosomal RNA". It matches the Rfam family "Bacterial small subunit ribosomal RNA". The record is from RNAcentral.